UUCAUAGCUGGAGUAGGACCACUAGGCUGCAUACCAAACCAAAGAGCCACUGCACCACCCGGGAGAUGCGUUGAUAGUGUGAACCAGAUUCUAGGCACAUUUAACCAAGGGCUAAGAUCACUUGUUGACCAGCUGAACCAGCGUUCACCUGGUGCUAUCUAUGUAUAUGGCAACACAUAUCGCGCAGUUGGUGAUAUCUUAAACAACCCAGCUACUUACGGUAUUAACCUCCUCCUAGAUUACAUUGCUGAUGAUAAACGGAGUUUCUAUGAGUAUCAAAAGAGGCUUAUGUAUUGUACAGGAUUCAGCAUAGCGGACAGGGCUUGUUGCGGAACAGGUAGGAACCAAGGACAGAUCACAUGUUUGCCGUUGCAGAAUCCUUGUCCUAACAGGUCACAGUACGUCUUUUGGGAUGCAUUCCAUCCUACUCAGACUGCAAACUCCAUUCUGGUCAGACGAGCUUUCUACGGCCCACCUACCGACGCUUAUCCUGUUAAUGUCCAACAGAUGACUCUCCUUCCCUAGUUGUUUCUUUUUUUCUCUGUGUUUAUAAGUCUUAAAAGUUGUGUGUUAUGAUACUUGAACCUGACUAUUAAGCUGAAAACCAAAAGGCUUUUACCGUAAAAUAACAUAGAAGUGCUAAUGACAACGGGAAGAAGCCCCAAAAUUAGAAGUAGUCUUAGAGAGGACAUGUUAAAAUUCAAGAACAGAGCAUACUAAGUUUUGUAUUACGCCAAACUUCAGACAAAAGAACACAAUGCAUUGUCAAUUUACUCCAUUCCUACUCCCAAAUCAGUCUUUACUCUUUACCCCACUCCAGCUCCAACUGCAUCGGAUCAGCCUUUGGAAGUGAAGCAAUCCCCUGCGCUGCAAUGCCAACGUCACCUCCUGUUAUCCGAUCCCAGCCUAGGAUGUGUGGAAGGGCAAACUGCACAUAAUACAAAAGCUGGUUUUAGAAAAAAAAACACAAACAGCUCUUCCUUAAGAUAAGAGAACAAUGAGAGAGCAGAAAAUUGAAAUCAUAUCUUACACUAAAAGCACUCUUCAGCACUGCAAAUUCAGCUUUGGAGACAGGAACCACAAUACGGUCAUUACUGUUUUGGAUGUUGUCGGUUACGCCUGCAAUAAUACCGCAGAAGUUAAGUGUUUUUGUACAUCAUUCCUAUUAUGAGAAGAAAACGCCUUAAAACUACUAUUUUACAAAACCAAAACAAGUGAGAGAAUUCUCCAACAAGUCAAGAUUUCAUUAGUAUUUAGACUGGCUCCACCAUUAGUUAGACCAAUACUGUGUAGAAGAAGGCCUUACUCAAUUGGAAGAAGUAGCCGGUAGAAUCUGCGAGUGGCUUGAUCGACAGUGACUUCCUGACUUGACCAGCAUUACUGAGAGGAAACAAAGAUCAUCAGAAGAUGAUUUUUUUUUCUGAAUUAAGCACACAUAUGCAACAAGUAAGCAAAUAACAAAACCUUGAUUUCAUGGAAGGGUCAUGGAAAAACUCAGAGCUGUCCUGGGGACCCAUGCUGAUCACAGAUCCAACUUCAGUAGGUGACAAAGCAAACAACUACAUCAACAAACAAGGAAGCAAACAGAAUCACAUAUAUAAGACAAAAAGGAUAUGAGUGAAGGUAUAUAAGUAUUAGACAAAGACCUGUUUCUUCUCCCAGUCGUACUUGCGCUCACUAACAGCAGGCAUAAAAGUCAUCAUCACAGAUCCACGACGAUCUAUCCUCAGAUUCCCAGGCUAAAACAUCAUUGUACACAGUAAGUGACGAGAAUCUCCAAAGCCUUAAAAGAAAAUCACACAAAAGGGGUUUUCGAAACCUCGAUUUUGGUGAAAGUGGGGAGGACAGGUUCAACAGAGAGUGCAGCUCUUCCUUUGAAGAUAGCGUACGGUGCGAACACACGACCACUAGGCUUAGCAUCAGCUUUGAAACAAAAGGGAAACAAAUUAGGGCAAAAAACUCAAAACAGAGACGAAAAGGAGAGCAAAGGAAGUAACUUUACCACGUUUGGUGGUAGAGGAAUCAACCCAGGUUGCGAAACCACGAAACGCCAAAGACCUAGAGCUUCCUUCGAAAAGUGAGUUGCUUUGGUUGCAAAGGCUCCUGCUUUUAGCAAAGAAAACAACAACAAAGAGGUCAUUUGAGAGAAAUGGGUUAAAAAUAAAUUAUUCUCUGGUUGGUAAAAUGUAUAUGGCAAGUACAGAGCUCUGUAGAUGUUAAAUCAAUAUUUAUCUGUAUGAAUCUCACGAAUUAGUUACUAGUUUAGCUAUUUAAGAGAUCAUUAUCCGUUGCACAGUUACAGUCGCAGAUAAUCUUCUCUCAUUACUUUCUUGAUCUUUAUCUGAAGAGGGUGAGAAAGUGCGUCAUGGUCUUUGUCUUAGCAUAUGCAAUUGUGGUUUCUUGUGAAAUUUCAAACGUGGUGCAAGCUUAUUGACUCGUUUUACAUGCAAGCAGCCGAAAACAAAAGAGAACCGUUACAAAAAUUGAAACGUAUUAACUCCUAUGUGUCACAUGCAGCAUGUUUCGCAUUAAACUUUAUAUAGUAAACAUUCCAUGCGUUCUAACUUGAAAACGAACACAAACUCAAAAAAGAUGAGAAUCCAAGGUAGAGGAUAUGCGUUUAUAGUUGCAGUGGUGGCGUCUUUUAUUUUAAAGCAGCCUGAGUUGUUAGUGACCGGACAAGCUACAGUUCCGGCUAUGUUUGUGCUGGGAGACUCAUUGGUCGAUGUUGGGAACAACAACUUUCUAGCAUCCGUGGCUCGAGCCAAUUACUUACCUUAUGGCAUAGACUUAAACUUCCGUCCUACUGGCAGGUUUAGCAACGGCAUGAACUUCGUUGAUUUGCUUGGUAACAUUUUAGACACUUUCUCUGUCAAAAAUCAGUUUAAUUUUAGCAUAACUCUCCUCUUACUGACACUGUUCCGAAAAAAAAAAAACAGCUCAGUUGUUAGGAAUCUCGUCGCCUCCUCCCUUUGCGGAUCCAACCACAUGGGGCACUAGAAUCCUUGGAGGAGUUAACUAUGCUUCUGCAGCUGGUGGCAUCCUCGAUGAAUCAGGACAACACUAUGUAAUUUUCUGAGUUUUGUUUCCUCACUUAUGAUGUAAGUGUUAGUAUAGUGUUGAUAGAGGCUUUUAAUGUGCAGGGAGACAGAUUCAGCCUGAGCCAGCAAGUGGUGAACCUAGAGGGGACGCUGAGCCAGUUGAGAACAAUGAUGAGUCCCCAAAACUUUACUGAUUACUUGAAAAAAUCGCUGGUGGUUCUCGUUUUUGGAAGCAAUGACUAUCUCAACAACUACCUUAUGCCUAAUCUCUACUCAUCCAGCUUCAGAUACAAACCGCCUGAGUUCGCCAAUCUACUUAUCAAUCAAUACGCUCGACAACUUCUUGUAUGCCAACAUCAAAAUCUUCAUAUACAGUAUCAUUUCAAUGAACCUUCUGAUAAUCAUUUUGAAACUAUUGUGUAGACUCUAUACAGCCUAGGUCUAAGGAAAGUGUUCAUAGCUGGAGUAGGACCACUAGGCUGCAUACCAAACCAAAGAGCCACUGCACCACCCGGGAGAUGCGUUGAUAGUGUGAACCAGAUUCUAGGCACAUUUAACCAAGGGCUAAGAUCACUUGUUGACCAGCUGAACCAGCGUUCACCUGGUGCUAUCUAUGUAUAUGGCAACACAUAUCGCGCAGUUGGUGAUAUCUUAAACAACCCAGCUACUUACGGUAUUAACCUCCUCCUAGAUUACAUUGCUGAUGAUAAACGGAGUUUCUAUGAGUAUCAAAAGAGGCUUAUGUAUUGUACAGGAUUCAGCAUAGCGGAC
RNAcentral lists this long non-coding RNA (3812 nucleotides) under Brassica napus (rape). RNAcentral's name for it is "long non-coding RNA (BNAP_LNC019225)". Lineage: Eukaryota; Viridiplantae; Streptophyta; Magnoliopsida; Brassicales; Brassicaceae. The record is from RNAcentral.